CUGAUUGGCUGCGCGGGGGCCGGGCAGCCUUCACUCCCGCUCGAGGAGCAAGCCGGGGCUCCUUCACUCUCGCUCCGGAGAGCCAUUCAUAAAAGUGCGGGCUUGAAGGACGAGCGCGACCAUGAGCGAGCCGCGGCGCCCGAGUCGGACUUUGUAGAUCCGAGAAGCCGGAGUGGCAACUUUUCGGUCGUUCGGAGCCGCGUUUUAAGUUACAGCCGCCCCCGUCCCCGUCCCCCUCCUCCCACCCCACCGGUCAGCGUUGGAUCCGUCGGCCUACUGCGACUCCCCGGCGUACGGCCCGGACCUGUGCCCCAACAUGAUCGCCACGCAGGCCAAGCUGGUGUACCAGCUCAACAAGUACCACGGCGAGCGGUGCCAAGCGCGCAAGGCCGCCAUCGCCAAGACCAUCCGCGAGGUGUGCAAGGUGGUGUCAGACGUGCUGAAGGAGGUGGAGGUGCAGGAGCCGCGCUUCAUCAGCUCGCUGAGCGAGAUCGACGCGCGCUACGAAGGCAUGGAGGUCACGUCGCCCAACGAGUUCGAGGUGGUGCUCUACCUCAACCAGAUGGGCGUGUUCAACUUCGUGGACGACGGCUCGCUGCCCGGCUGCGCCGUGCUCAAGCUGAGCGACGGCCGCAAGCGCAGCAUGUCGCUGUGGGUGGAGUUCAUCACCGCUUCGGGCUACCUGUCGGCGCGCAAGAUCCGCUCGCGCUUCCAGACGCUGGUGGCGCAGGCGGUGGACAAGUGCAGCUACCGCGACGUGGUCAAGAUGGUGGCGGACACCAGCGAGGUGCGGCUGCGCAUCCGCGAGCGCUACGUGGUGCAGAUCACGCCGGCCUUCAAGUGCACCGGCAUCUGGCCGCGCAGCGCGGCGCAGUGGCCGGCGGCGCACAUCCCCUGGCCGGGGCCCAACCGCGUGGCCGAGGUCAAGGCGGAGGGCUUCAACCUGCUCUCCAAGGAGUGCUACUCGCUCACCGGCAAGCAGAGCUCGGCCGAGAGCGACGCCUGGGUGCUGCAGUUCAGCGAGGCAGAGAACCGGCUGCUCAUGUCCGGCUGCCGCAAGAAGUGCCUGUCGGUGCUCAAGACGCUGCGCGACCGCCACCUGGAGCUGCCCGGCCAGCCGCUCAACAGCUACCACAUGAAGACGCUGCUGCUGUACGAGUGCGAGAAGCACCCGCGCGAGGCCGACUGGGACGAGGCGUGCCUGGGCGACCGGCUCAACGGCAUCCUGCUGCAGCUCAUCUCCUGCUUGCAGUGCCGCCGAUGCCCGCACUACUUUCUCCCCAACCUGGACCUCUUUCAGGGCAAGCCGCACUCGGCCCUGGAGGCGGCCGCCAAGCAGACGUGGAGGCUGGCCAGGGAGAUCCUCACCAACGCCAAGAGCUUGGACAAAUUAUAAGAAAGAAAAAAAAAACCCACGCAAACUCCCGGCUCGCACUUUUUGCUUUCUUUUUUUUUUUUUUUUGCGAGUUGACUUUGAGGUAAAAAAAAAGUGACAUCGUUUGGGGGCUUUGGAGCAGAAGCAGGAAAAAGACACGAAGUUUAUCGUGCAGUAUUGUCCCCGCCGCAUGUCCUUGACUCCAAAGUCUGCGUGCAGAGAUGUCAGCAAAUGUGAAGUGAUGGAGUCGACGCUUUCUUCUGGGCGGAAGAGAUGAACAGGCUGCCAUCAAUGUACGGUGACCAUUCCAUUAAAGACAACGCGAGAGGAAGAGAAGAAAGAUAUUUUGUGCCGUGUUAACCUUGAUGGCCGCGAGCAGGGAUCUCUUUCAACCGGAUUAGAUUUUUUUCUUUAACCCCCGAGAGAGGGAAAAAAAAAAAUCAAUAGUAGGGAGCGGCGGCAUGACAGGAGCAUCACUCCAGAAUUGAAGUGGCUGUCAGCCAUUGUCAUUUGCUGACUUUUGUUCGCCAUUGUUCUUUUAAACCCUCAUUUUUCUCUCUCGCGUGCCCAUUGUCUGAAUUCCCCGGUGAUGUUUUAUGUUGCAAUUUGGAAACUACGGGUCAAAGGGUCAAGUGCAAGUGGGUCUUUUUCUUUUCUUUUUCCGAAAAAACAAAAAAACAAAAAAUCCCCCCAAAAACCAAUUGCCGGACCCCCUCCGAGUCUCCCCAUAACCUCUUUUGUGUUUUCCCCAUGUAUUUGCAUUCUGAGCUAUCAGAAAAGGACAAGGCAGAUUCCCCGCCAUCAUCCGGACCCCUUUGUUGUAAACCAUACCCCGCGGGAGUACUUGUCAACGCACGUGAGAAAUUGGAGACCAUCGCGGAGUGACGGCCCGGCGGCUACGCCGCCGAGCGUCAAGUCAUUACAAAUCAAACGUGUUCGUGUCUUCAAACAGAGCUUUAAAUUCCCGCC
Molecule: RNA transcript, 2344 nt
Organism: Hippocampus zosterae (dwarf seahorse)
Lineage: Eukaryota; Metazoa; Chordata; Actinopteri; Syngnathiformes; Syngnathidae
Gene: mab21l2
Gene name: mab-21-like 2
Exons: 2
Source: RefSeq, a predicted model, not a curated record